UUUUGCUUUAUGGUAAUGUGAGAUGCAGUGUAUGGAAUGUCAAAUUUCUAGUAUGAGAAAUUAACGAUGUUUAAGUCCUUCUUAAAUGAGGCCAUUUACCCAUAGAGGGUGCCAGGCCCGUAUAACGUUAAUGAUUACUAGAUGACAUUUUCAAAGAGUCGUGUUGCKUGUUUGAUAGUGCAGCACUAAGUGGGUGGUAAACUCCAUCUAAAACUAAAUAUAACCAUGAGACCGAUAGUAAACAAGUACCGUGAGGGAAAGUUGAAAAGAAKUGUCUCUGAAUAGAGAGUUAAAUAGUACGUGAAACUGCUUAGAGGUUAAGCCCGAUGAACUUGAAUAUCCGUUUUAGAAAAUUCAUCAUUAUGAKUGUUAAUAUAUUAUAAAAAUGGUGUGCAUUUUUUCUAUAUGGACAUUGUAAUCUAUUAACAUAGACAAUUUAUCAAAAGAUCGCGAAAGUUUAUUCAAAUUAUUUUGCUGUCAAUUUAACAUAGAAUAAAUGCUCUUGAUUCGAUAAAGUGUUGAUAGAUUUAGUAUAGUGCUUAAAUAAUAUUUUAUAAUUGCAUAUUAAUUAUUAAUUUAUAUGUKUUUUAUUUAUAUGCACUUUUAUGAUUAACAAUGCGAAAGAUUCAGGAUACCUUCGGGACCCGUCUUGAAACACGGACCAAGGAGUCUAACAUAUKUGUUUGCAAGUUAUUGGGUGAAACCUAAUAGCGAAAUUAACAUAACAUAAUGGGAUUAGUUUUUAAACUAUUAAUUCAAUCCCGGGGCGUUCUAUACAGUUAUGUAUAAUAAUAUUUAUAUUAUUUAUACCUCUAAKUGUCUAGAGCGUACCUUGAGCAUAUAUGCUGUGACCCGAAAGAUGGUGAACUAUACUUGAUCAGGUUGAAGUCAGGGGAAACCCUGAUGGAAGACCGAAACAGKUGUUCUGACGUGCAAAUCGAUUGUCAGAAUUGAGUAUAGGGGCGAAAGACAAUCGAACCAUCUAGUAGCUGGUUCCCUCCGAAGUUUCCCUCAGGAUAGKUGCUGGUGCAUUUAAAAUUUUUGUAAAAUAAUCUUAUCUGGUAAAGCGAAUGAUUAGAGGCCUUAGGGUCGAAACGAUCUUAACCUAUUCUCAAACUUUAAKUGUAUGGGUAAGAACCUCACCUUUCUUGGU
This 1153-nucleotide ribosomal RNA is filed under the name Glaurocarini gen. n. sp. 2 JOS-2019. RNAcentral's name for it is "partial 28S ribosomal RNA". It matches the Rfam family "Eukaryotic large subunit ribosomal RNA", at positions 121 to 1095 of the family's 3401-position model. Lineage: Eukaryota; Metazoa; Arthropoda; Insecta; Diptera; Tachinidae. The record is from RNAcentral.